RNAcentral lists this long non-coding RNA (506 nucleotides) under Elaeis guineensis (African oil palm). Its description in RNAcentral is "long non-coding RNA (EGUI_LNC013774)". The record is from RNAcentral. Lineage: Eukaryota; Viridiplantae; Streptophyta; Magnoliopsida; Arecales; Arecaceae.
UCGUCCUUGCCAUCAUGAUUUAUGACGCUCAAGAACAAAGGGCAGAUACGUCAAGUUGCCAAAGCGUAUAUAAUUAUUAAGAAUUAACAAAGGGAAGGAGGUAGGGUUGCGUGGAAACGCGACGGAUGGCAGAUAGCAGAGGGAGCGGAAAUAGGUGCUUGCUAGGGUUUCGCUUUUCUACCUUUCCUCUUUUUUUGGUUUCUUAACCCAUAAUAAUUCGCCAUAUUCUCUUUAUAACAGGGAACACUUAGCCCACUACUCAAAUUGCUACCGUCGAUCGACAUCCCUUCUCCGCUUCACCUCGCUCUCUCUCUCUCUCUCUCUCUACUAGUCUCGUCCUACUUCCUCUCUCUCUCUCAUCUCAUCNNNNNNNNNNNNNNNNNNNNUCCCUUCCUCCGCCUUCUACCUCGCUCUCUCUCUCUCUCUCUCUCUCUAAGUCUGUCCUAUUCCUCUCUCUCUCUCAUCUCAUCUUCCACAAGAAAGAGGGACAAACCAUCUUGCUUUCU